GCAAUCAUGUGAGGGAAGGAGAUAGCUCUGCCCUCACGGCAAACCAUAGCGAGACAAAGGAGAAGAUUAUUCAAUCAGGUAACCUUUGCUUGUAUCAGAUUAAAAUGACUCUCUGGCAGGAGGUUCAUAAAUCUGAAAUACCAAAGAUUUGCAUCAUUUUGAACUAUCUUCUCCAAUCAGGUAAACUCUGUAUAUGAUUUUGCAGAGGACCUAACAAAAGGAAUUUACCA
Molecule: long non-coding RNA, 230 nt
Filed under: Linum usitatissimum (flax)
Lineage: Eukaryota; Viridiplantae; Streptophyta; Magnoliopsida; Malpighiales; Linaceae
Description: long non-coding RNA (LUSI_LNC000347)
Source: RNAcentral